This 72-nucleotide transfer RNA is filed under the name Xenopus tropicalis (tropical clawed frog). RNAcentral's name for it is "Xenopus (Silurana) tropicalis (western clawed frog) tRNA". It matches the Rfam family "tRNA". From Rfam's summary of the family: Transfer RNA (tRNA) molecules are approximately 80 nucleotides in length. Their secondary structure includes four short double-helical elements and three loops (D, anti-codon, and T loops). The record is from Rfam by way of RNAcentral. Lineage: Eukaryota; Metazoa; Chordata; Amphibia; Anura; Pipidae.
GGGGAUGUAGCUCAGUGGUAGAGUGCAUGGUUUGCAUAUAUGAGGAUUUGGGUUCAAUCUCUGGCAUCUCUA